This 873-nucleotide ribosomal RNA is filed under the name Amanita innatifibrilla. Its description in RNAcentral is "eukaryotic LSU rRNA". It matches the Rfam family "Eukaryotic large subunit ribosomal RNA", at positions 80 to 937 of the family's 3401-position model. The record is from RNAcentral. Lineage: Eukaryota; Fungi; Basidiomycota; Agaricomycetes; Agaricales; Amanitaceae.
UUAGUAACUGCGAGUGAAGAGGGAAAAGCUCAAAUUUAAAAUCUGGCAGUGUCUGACUGUCCGAGUUGUAACCUAGAGAAGUGUAACCUGUGYUGGACCGUGUAAAAGUCUCCUGGAAUGGAGCAUCAUAGAGGGUGAGAAUCCCGUCUUUGACAUGGACUACCAGCKCAUUAUGGUGGCGCUCUCAACGAGUCGAGUUGUUUGGGAAUGCAGCUCUAAACGGGUGGUAAAUUCCAUCUAAAGCUAAAUAUUGGCGAGAGACCGAUAGCGAACAAGUACCGUGAGGGAAAGAUGAAAAGAACUUUGGAAAGAGAGUUAAACAGUAUGUGAAAUUGUUGAAAGGGAAACGUUUGAAGUCAGUCGAGUUGGCCAGGGAUCAGUUUGACRUUUGUUGGGCGUAUUUCCUGGUCAAUGGGCCAACAUGAGUUUUGAUCGCCAGAAAAAGUUGAAGGGAAUGUGGCACCUUUUUGGUGUGUUAUAGCCUUUUGUCGUAUAUGGCGGUUGGGACUGAGGAAAGCAGUGCGCCGAAAGGGCAGGGUUUCGACCACGUUCGCACUGAGGAUGUUGGCAUAAUGGCUUUAAGCGACCCGUCUUGAAACACGGACCAAGGAGUCUAACAUGCAUGCGAGUGUUUGAGUGGAAAACUCAUACGCGUAAUGAAAGUGAAAGUUGAGAACCCUGUCAUGGGGAGCAUCGACGCCCGGACCAGAACUUUUGGGACGGAUCUGCGGUAGAGCAAGUAUGUUGGGACCCGAAAGAUGGUGAACUAUGCCUGAAUAGGGUGAAGCCAGAGGAAACUCUGGUGGAGGCUCGUAGCGAUUCUGACGUGCAAAUCGAUCGUCAAAUUUGGGUAUAGGGGCGAAAGACUAAUCG